UGCAUGGGGUGAGAGGGUGGAGGGGGAUGCAGAGGCGGAGCCAAAUCGCAUGCUGCUGCGAGGCUGCACUCAAACCUCCCCCGGCUCGCAUCCCGUGCUCAAGCACCAGUCGGUCGCUCCCUCCCCUCCCCUUCCCUCUCUCUCUCACUCUCCACACACUCGCUCGCUCACUCACCCAGACUCACGGCACUCCACACCGCACGCAAGCUCGUUUGCCCGCCCAGACAGAAGAGCCGCAUGCCCCGGCGGCUAGGCUCAGUCUCUCUCUCACUCCAUCCCUCUGCGCUCUCAUCUCGUCUGCUCGGAUACGUCGGGACGGAAAGACAAAGCCGUGCUCCCCCUGCUGUGUCGUCCUCGGAUGUCUUAAGCUCUCCUUUUCUCAAAGGGAAGAGGACGAGGAGAGCUCAUUGAGCGGUGGUGGCCUCGUGACCGAAUGGAAUAGAGGAUCAUUAACAACGGAGGCAGAUGUUUGCGUGUGUGUGUGUGCGCGUGUUAAUUAAUUACACAAAUUGGCCGCGAGGUCACACGAAAUGUAGCUCGCUAGGUAAAUGAAAGAACGGAGGAGGCUGCGGUUUACGGAGGUCAGACCCCUGGCUAUGUGUGAGGCUGUAUGGAUGUGUGGGGUGCCCCGCUGGAUGUCUACCCGUAACACGCCGGCUUGAAGAAGACCCGGCGCAUUGGUGCCUCGAGGAUUCGUGAGCUGGUAUGCGCCGCGCCGUGCUCACUCGGCUCCUUUCAUCCGAAUGACCCCCCCUCGUGUCUCGCUCGCGUCUUGGGAUGUACAUCACCUCCUCGUGGGAUGUCCCAUUCUCGAGACGCGUGCACACGCCCCUGUUGGAAGAUGAGGAGGAAGAGGAGGGGAAUGAGGAUGGGAGACAAGCCCUGGCGCGUCUUAACUCCACAUCGGCUACAAUCCCCCCCUCCCUCUCCCACACUGCUCCACGAGGCGGAAAGAAAAGGGAAUAAAGUCUAAUUAAAAUUUACAGCUUGUGCUACCUACACACUCGACCACGGAAUCCUCAUUAGAAGCGAGGCACGUACCCGGCAGAAUUGAAUGCGGCCCGAAACAAUUGCAGAUGGCACGGGGAACAUUUGUUGGAGAGGCCCCGGAGAAAAAAGGGACGUGAAAAUUGUAAUUGUGCACGUCAUUUGCCCCGCGCAUUGCUCAAUAAUUCGGGAAAUUAAAGCAGCCAUAGGAAUGGAGCCCUCGUGAAAUCGAGUGGGAUUCGUCUGGUCUGAUGUAGUUGGCAAGAGGGUAGUCGGGAAUGAAUAAUUAGGGCUGACAGCUUUUAGCGCUUGCCGUUUCUCUAACUCAUUUUGGCGAAUGUUUAGUUACGGAUUUUUUGUGUGUGUGGAAACUGAAAUCAUAAGAAAAAAAAAGGCCGUCUGGGGAGAAUUGGGAAAUCGUGACUAAAUGUAGGCUGCGUGCAACGACGAUGAUGCACUUUAAGAUUUUUAAAAUGAGGUUGCUAUGUCCCUGCGUGAAACGUGGUGCGUGUGGUAUGCGCGCGAGGCAUUUCCAAGUUAUACAUUUUGUGUACAAGACGCAUUGUGACCUGUAAUGUUUUAUCUGCUGUGACAUUCUCGUGUGCACACACACAUACCAGAGGGGGGGGGGGGCGGGGGCACUCACAAAACAUUCCUUUUUUUAAAUGAAGUUAUUUAUUGAGUACGAAUUGCCCCAUACAUUUGCCGACAAAACACAGCUCUAUCCAUUACAUAGAAAGUGUUUAAAAUGAAAGAAACUAAAGCAAAAUAGCAAGACAAAUGCCUCAAAUAUUGCAAUAAUUUAGAAACAUGAACAAUAACCAUACGAUUUUGUACAAAUCAAAAACAUUUAGGACUCAUUUAACUAAAUAAUUUUUUUACAAACAUAUGCUGCUUGAAUAUGGAGAAAGGAAAUACUUCAUGGAACAUUUAGGUGACAAUUGUCAUGGUUGGUAAAAUGGUCCCAUAAAAAAAACACACACACAAACGCCCGACACCAAAUCUAAGACUAUGAAAUAUGUAGGCACAUAUUGGCUCUAACUAUUCUGUACAAAAUAUGAUACACUGUAGAAAAAUUCUAUAGCUGUUAGUACUGGAAAAGGAUCCUAAAUUAUUGCUAAGUCAAUAGCAAAUAUCACAAAAAACGAUCCUAGACAUUAUUAAAUAUAUAUGAUCCAUACUUGUAGAUUGCUUCUUUAGAAAGUUCGCACUUGUAUGGCAACUAAAUUUAUGUAAUUUUAUUACACAAAGGAUUUUAAAACGUUGGCAUCAUUUUAGUAAUAAGCUCCUCGCCCUCAUACACAUGCAUUGCAUCUGUAGAACACGCAAAGGAGUUGAGAUUUUGGAGGGAAAAAUAGGUUGACGAGUUCCUUUGUAAGAAAAAUGAAAAUGCACUAAAAGGCACAUCUAUUGUUGGCUUCUUAGAGAGUCUGUACAAUAAACACAUCUUUAUUUACUCAACAUUUCGUUCACUUAGGUAAGGAAGACAUGUCUCCUCACAGAGGACUUCUUCAGGUAUAAGUCAUUGGAUGUCAAUCAAAUUCGUGUCUUUUGUUUUUGCUAAAUAAUAACAGUAAAGGCUUCGCCAAAUAAAAUAUGCAUGAACAGUUCGCAAAACUCAUUCCGCACUCUAAUAAGGCAUCGGCUAAAGCUGAAUAGAUACCGUAAAAGUGAAUCUGCUAAUGGGUUUUGUGUCACUCUUAGUUUUACCGUAAACGCCUUUUUUUAUAAUUCUGCACGCGUCCACGUUCACCUUGCAUGUCCGCAAGGUAGGCUAACGUUAGUUAAUUACAAAAAUAUGUCUUUGUUGACGCCUCGAAUUUCUUCCCGACGAUUAAGGUCACCCACUGCGAACAAACAAACAUCGCGUUGCGAAUGUAGACCUGCAGUGCAUUUACUCAACGGUGCAAGUGAAGCGGACUAUGUAUUCGGCGUGUUCUGAAACGGCAAAAAAAAUGUAUUCUGUACUUUAUGCAUCGUUAUUGUUGUUGUUAUUUUGAUAAAAGCGUACACUACCAUGUUGACGUCACCAAUGUGUCUACGAAAGCGCGUAACGGUCUUCAUUAAAAUAUACUCUGGAAGGAAGCGCACGUUUUGCUCCCUUAAGCUUUGCCUUCGGCGUCAAUGCCCAAUUCAGGUGGACCUGCGCACCUGCAAGCAAACGACUCUAUCCACACUUAAAACAAAUUCACGAUUAUCCGCAACCUAGCCCCCACCCCCUCCCCCAUAACUUUACUUGGGUUUCUAUAUUUU
Petromyzon marinus (sea lamprey) is the source of this 3240-nucleotide long non-coding RNA. RefSeq lists it as uncharacterized. The record is from RefSeq and is a predicted model, not a curated record. Lineage: Eukaryota; Metazoa; Chordata; Hyperoartia; Petromyzontiformes; Petromyzontidae.